AGGGGUGUAGCUCAGCUGGUCAGAGCGCUGGUCUCCAAAACCAGAUGUCGCAGGUUCGACUCCUGCCACCCCUGCAA
RNAcentral lists this transfer RNA (77 nucleotides) under Streptomyces sp. ICC1. Its description in RNAcentral is "tRNA-Trp". It matches the Rfam family "tRNA". Rfam says of the family: Transfer RNA (tRNA) molecules are approximately 80 nucleotides in length. Lineage: Bacteria; Bacillati; Actinomycetota; Actinomycetes; Kitasatosporales; Streptomycetaceae. The record is from RNAcentral. RNAcentral also lists the same sequence under 1 other name.